AGUGAACGCUGGCGGUAGGCCUAACACAUGCAAGUCGAACGGCAGCACAGUAAGAGCUUGCUCUUACGGGUGGCGAGUGGCGGACGGGUGAGGAAUACAUCGGAAUCUACUUUUUCGUGGGGGAUAACGUAGGGAAACUUACGCUAAUACCGCAUACGACCUACGGGUGAAAGCAGGGGAUCUUCGGACCUUGCGCGAUUGAAUGAGCCGAUGUCGGAUUAGCUAGUUGGCUGGGUAAAGGCCCACCAAGGCGACGAUCCGUAGCUGGUCUGAGAGGAUGAUCAGCCACACUGGAACUGAGACACGGUCCAGACUCCUACGGGAGGCAGCAGUGGGGAAUAUUGGACAAUGGGCGCAAGCCUGAUCCAGCCAUACCGCGUGGGUGAAGAAGGCCUUCGGGUUGUAAAGCCCUUUUGUUGGGAAAGAAAAGCAGCAGGUUAAUACCCCGCUGUUCUGACGGUACCCAAAGAAUAAGCACCGGCUAACUUUGUG
RNAcentral lists this ribosomal RNA (492 nucleotides) under uncultured bacterium. Its description in RNAcentral is "partial 16S ribosomal RNA". It matches the Rfam family "Bacterial small subunit ribosomal RNA", at positions 29 to 507 of the family's 1533-position model. The record is from RNAcentral.